UGUUCCUACGGGGCGCAGCAGUGGGGAAUAUUGCACAAUGGGGGAAACCCUGAUGCAGCGACGCCGCGUGAGUGAAGAAGUAUCUCGGUACGUAAAGCUCUAUCAGCAGGGAAGAAAAAAAGUCUUUGGCUUUGGACGGUACCUGACUAAGAAGCCCCGGCUAACUACGUGCCAGCAGCCGCGGUAAUACGUAGGGGGCAAGCGUUAUCCGGAUUUACUGGGUGUAAAGGGAGCGUAGACGGCUGUGCAAGUCUGAAGUGAAAUGCCGGGGCCCAACCCCGGAACUGCUUUGGAAACUGUACAGC
This 305-nucleotide ribosomal RNA is filed under the name uncultured bacterium. RNAcentral's name for it is "bacterial SSU rRNA". It matches the Rfam family "Bacterial small subunit ribosomal RNA", at positions 334 to 641 of the family's 1533-position model. The record is from RNAcentral.